AUCAGGAGGCUGGAUGUGCCCUGCAAGUGACAGCAACAGCUCACUAUAGGUGUCAAGACGAUCCCAGAUGCGACGAAGAAGGGCAUGCGUCACUUGAUGGGAUGCAGAGAGCGAAUCCAAAAGAGCCUGUUGCUCAAUGGAGAAACCACCAGAAGAACAGUGAGCAUCGCUGCGGUGUAAAGUGGCCCGGUUGUUGACUUUGAUGGCGUCGGAGGAGCCAAUGUCAUCUGUCAGCAGGGCAGGGACACCAGCAUGAGCAGCCAAGGCGGUGAUAAUCCGAGGAAGAACAAGACUGGAAGUUGGAACGGUGGCAUUUGCAGCACCAGCGACAAUGAGGCUUUCACGAACAUAGAACUCAACACUUACAGAUUGCUCAAAUCACAAGCUGGAAAAGAACUCAACACUUACAAAUUGCUCAACACUUUCGACCUAACUGCACAGCUUAAACACCCAAAGUAAAACGC
This 464-nucleotide long non-coding RNA is filed under the name Prunus persica (peach). RNAcentral's name for it is "long non-coding RNA (PPER_LNC008714)". The record is from RNAcentral. Lineage: Eukaryota; Viridiplantae; Streptophyta; Magnoliopsida; Rosales; Rosaceae.